CCUACGGGAGGCAGCAGUGAGGAAUAUUGGUCAAUGGGCGCGAGCCUGAACCAGCCAAGUCGCGUGAGGGAAGACGGUCCUAUGGAUUGUAAACCUCUUUUGUCGGGGAGCAAAAGACGCCACGCGUGGCGUUCCGAGAGUACCCGAAGAAAAAGCAUCGGCUAACUCCGUGCCAGCAGCCGCGGUAAUACGGAGGAUGCGAGCGUUAUCCGGAUUUAUUGGGUUUAAAGGGUGCGCAGGCGGACGAUCAAGUCAGCGGUAAAAUUGAGGGGCUCAACCUCUUCGAGCCGUUGAAACUGGUAUUCUUGAGUGAGCGAGAAGUAUGCGGAAUGCGUGGUGUAGCGGUGAAAUGCAUAGAUAUCACGCAGAACUCCGAUUGCGAAGGCAGCAUACCGGCGCUCAACUGACGCUCAUGCACGAAAGUGUGGGUAUCGAACAGGAUUAGAUACCCCAGUAGUC
RNAcentral lists this ribosomal RNA (459 nucleotides) under uncultured bacterium. RNAcentral's name for it is "partial 16S ribosomal RNA". It matches the Rfam family "Bacterial small subunit ribosomal RNA", at positions 338 to 795 of the family's 1533-position model. The record is from RNAcentral.